AUGUCUACUAAGAAGCAUCGAGCCAUGGGGUCUGAGGAGUGGGUGAGCCGCCUGAGGGCAUUUGCCUCUUCUGGCACUUGGCCCUCCAGUGCAGGGAACAGGCCAUCUCCGAAACAGGCCAAGUGGCCCAACCUCUACCAGAAGAUUGAGUAGUGUCCCACGAUGCUGCGUGGGCAAACCUCUAUCUUAAGGGUAGCGCAGACAUGUACCUGUGGCUUUCACCCCCAGCAGCCCUGCAGCUACCUCUGCCUCCACCUCUGCUGCGCCUGCACGGAGCCCUGGGAGGCAUGCAUUGACGCUGGCGAUGUUUGAGAAAUCGCGGUUCGGUGGGACUUUGUCUGCUGCAGCCAAGCCGAAUGUCAAUCUGACUAGGAGGCCUGUUGAGCGUCCCUCCAGCCCUGCCACUGUCCCGUCUGGGAGAAGCACUCCAUCCGCUACCCCACCUCGAGUGACGCCCCCUUCCAGUCCCAGCUUCUACAGGCCUGUCUCCCCUUUCUCUCUGCCUCCAUCCAGCCCUGUCAUGUCGGCGGUUGUAUCAGAUAUGAGUCCUGCUCCUCCAGGUCUCCUCCUGCUCCUCCUGGUCCCCUCCCUGCUCCUCCUGGUCCCCUCCCUGCUCCUCCUGGUCCCCUCCCUGCUCCUCCUGGUCCCCUCCCGCUCCUCCUCUUGCUGCUCCAGAUCAGUUCUGGCUGCCGGUGGAAAUGAGGAAGACCAUUCCCCAGCAGGACCAGCGCUGGAUUGCGUCCGAGCUGUGGAGGAACCAGCGGCUGCGCCCGGACGUCCAGCUCUGGUAUGAGCCACCAGUUCCUGCCUCAUCUACAACAAGGUCCCGUCACCAGACCGCUUUUUAUGCACCCUGCCCCUCCUCCGAGUCCCUGACCAAGGAGCAGUGGUUGGCGGAGAGGAGGAACAAAGAUCACCCGUGUUAAAUCUA
Molecule: long non-coding RNA, 931 nt
Filed under: Gadus morhua (Atlantic cod)
Lineage: Eukaryota; Metazoa; Chordata; Actinopteri; Gadiformes; Gadidae
Description: lncRNA (ENSGMOG00000037239.1)
Source: RNAcentral